GAUGAACGCUGACAGAAUGCUUAACACAUGCAAGUCUACCAAGAAUCACUUCGGUGAGGAAUGGUGGCGGACGGGUGAGUAACGCGUAAAUAAUCUGCCCUUUAGACUGGGAUAUCCUUUGGAAACGAAGGUUAAUACCGGAUAUUAUGAGAUGGACGCAUGUUCAACUUAUGAAAGCUAAAUGCACUAGAGGAGGAGUUUGCGUCCCAUUAGCUAGUUGGUGAGGUAAAGCUCACCAAGGCCACGAUGGGUAGCCGGCCUGAGAGGGUGAACGGCCACAAGGGAACUGAGACACGGUCCUUACUCCUACGGGAGGCAGCAGUGGGGAAUAUUGGACAAUGGACCAAAAGUCUGAUCCAGCAAUUCUGUGUGCACGAUGAAGGUCUUCGGAUUGUAAAGUGCUUUCAGUAGGGAAGAAAAAAAUGACGGUACCUACAGAAGAAGCGACGGCUAAAUAUGUGCCAGCAGCCGCAGUAA
This 477-nucleotide ribosomal RNA is filed under the name uncultured bacterium. RNAcentral's name for it is "partial 16S ribosomal RNA". It matches the Rfam family "Bacterial small subunit ribosomal RNA", at positions 28 to 523 of the family's 1533-position model. The record is from RNAcentral.